AAAGUGCAUUUUUUUAAUACAUUUAGUAGAAUACAGAAGAGUAACAAUGAAAAUUGCUUCGAUAUUUUUGGUUGCUUUUCUCUGCACUUUUCAAACAAGUGCAGUGGAAUUGAAGCCUUCCAAUACCGACAUUAUAAGUGGAGUAAUUGAUGAUGUAGCCGAUAUAGCAAACGGUGUUGUAUGUCUUGUAGAUGAAGUGACUGGAAUUUUGUUACCAAAUCAGGACAGUUCGUGUUAUAAUGACGAAAAUACCAACGAUGAUUGCGGUGAUGAGUCUCCAUCCUCUACAGCACCAUGAAUUUUGCAUACAUUUUUGUUUAACCAAAAUGUAUUGCUUUUUAAAGAAUAAAAUUAAUUAAAUAAUCAUGUAUUAAAUUGUAAAAGCAACCCACAAUAUAGUAACGUUAAUAAAAUCUAAAAUUAAAUUAUUAUCAUUACUCUCGCUAAUCUUUUUCCAGAAGUUCAAUACAGUUGUUUUGUCUGAAAUUACUUUUUCCUCUGUCUGAAUGUCAUAUUUUAAUGGGUUUUAAAACUAUAACAUAUGUUCCGACCUUCAUGUACGGGAAAAUGAUAAUAAGGAAAAAAUAAACAUUUCUUUUUUUUCUAAACAAAUGUGCGCCUAAUUUUCGUUAAAAAACAUGAUUGCAUUGCUAAGAAUUUUAACAAUUUAUGUUUGUUUUGUGUUAUUUUGUAAUAUUAUCAGUUGUGACGAAGAUGCAAUGUUAUAUUCCGAUGAAUUUAGAAAAAUGCAAGCUGACACGACCACCAUCAAAGUUGUUUUGGUGGAGAAAUCGUUAGUUCGUGUUCCUUGCCAAGCACCCUUUAAGUUGGUUAACAGGAAGUGUAGAUAUGUUUGGUGAUUAGUGUGCACUAUUUAAUAGUUUGAACUUUGUUCCGCGUCUUGUUCAUUGUUCUUUUGGUCUUUCCUUGUACCCAUUUAACAUUUUUUAUCUUGUAGCUAUUCUCUGAUAGAACAUAUUGUGUAACGGGGCUAGUGAGGUCACUCAGAUAAUAAUUUUUGAAAGUUUCAGUUCCUACAUGAAAGUAAAAGUAAGUAGACGACGAGAGAUGAGUGUCAAAAUUUUGCUAAGUUUUCUCAGUUUGAUUGUUUGUGGCUCUUGCCAGUAUCGAUACUAUUCAUAUCAGUACCCUUACUAUGGCAAUUACGGAUACAGCAAUGUAAGAAAUGGACCUUAUUCUUAUCAACCUUCGCCGUGUAGAUCAUCCUGCGGUAACGUGCAACCGGUUAACAAUUGUCAAUACUUUCCCUGUUAUCAGCAACGGUCUUACAACAGCUACAACUUGCCCUACCCUUACUACCAAACCAGUAAUAACAAUUACAAAACAGUCAACCGUAAUUCAAAUUCGCCAGAACCUUACGGAAGAUUUUAUCAGAACUUGUACAAUUACCAACAACCUAGCCAACAAGAUCCUUACGCAAAUGUCCCGACGGAGAUAAUAGACGACGACGAGUUUGAAAAGUUUAUGCAAAAAAUUCCCAAACUACCAAAAGCGACAACCUCAUCUCACAGUAACUACACAGUGAGCCAAGGUGCUGCGACUAGCAAUUCUGUUGUGGAGACCAAACCUAUAAGGGCCACAAUAAACAGAAGUCUUGACCCUUCCGUACAAAAUACACCCAUCCGGCUUGAUUUCUUAAAUGGAGAACCCAUCAACGCUGACCAAAACAACGAAGCAACUACCACUGAAGAAACAGAAGUAACGGAAGUGGUCGAAACAACAACCAUUCCUGCAACUACCACCGAAGAAACCGAGGAUGUGGCACCUGUCAAAAACUGGUUUUCUUAGAAAUAGUUUGUAAUUUUGUAUCGUUUAAUAAAUACGUUUUUUAUGUCCACAAUCUCAAAUUAUUAUUUUGGUGAUCUCUGACGACCUUUAUAUAUCUUGAAUCGAUAUAAAUACAUAAGUGCAAUUUUGUUCAAGUCAAGUUAGUUGAAUUCAUCGUGCAAUAAAAAUGAAAAUUGUAUUGCUUUUCGUAGCAACUUUUUUGUUGUGUUGUUCAGAAUGUAAACCAGACGUAAAGACGGUAUUCGAUACUUCAAAUUCUUGUCCAAAUGGGAAGUUAUUGGCCCAUAACGGGGAAUGCAUCACGCCAUUUAUGUUGAAGAUGACCAUUCCAGAUGCGGUGGUCAAUGCAUUGUCUACCACAGAAGCAACUUUCGGAGAUUCUAGCAAUGGCCAAGCGAAAAAAACACCAGCAUUACCGAAAAUUAAGGGAUAACCAAGUGGAGGAAUUCAGUCUUGAGGUCGAUGUAAUAACCUAAUAACACCAAUAAGCGCUUGGCAUGUACAAAAUAAUUAGCUUUUAUUGUAAUUUUUUUAAUAAAACUACAAAACUUACAGAUUGUUAUGUCUUUUUCCACAAACACAUAUUCCAUGUUUUUCAUAUCAGUUUAUUUAGACAGUAGGUAUUUAGGGUAGAUAGAGUUUCUGAUAAAAUGACUACAAUGGAUUAAAAUUAUUAAUGAGUGAAUCAUAGAAGAGUUAGGCAUUAGCUGAGUAUCAUACGUUUUUUUUAUUGGGAGAAAGAAGAUGAGGUUUUUGGGGUUGCGUGGUUUAUUUAUUUUAAUUACAUUGUGUUUUUGUAAGUCAUUUGGUGAAUGGCUGAGUUUCAAAGAAUAUUUCAGUUUUUACGAAAAAGUUAUGAAUGCCAAUGUAAUUCGUCCGAGGGCAAAUUGUGAAUCUGGAACUAUACAAAUAAUUCCGGGGGACUGCAGAACUGUUUAUAAGUAAUUUCCGGAACAUUUUUGUGUAGGGAAGAGUUGGAACUGAAGACUAUCACUCUCGAAGUAAAUUUUGUAUACGUUGGUACCAUGUUUUUUUUCUUUUAUCGUAAAUAAACUAUGUUGUAAGUUUGGUUGCAGAGUUUCUAGGAGUACUUACCCAUAAUUUCUAAAGCUGCACCUUAUCUUUUUAAUAAGUUGAUAUGAAUGUUUAUUAAACAUAGCCUUUUUACUGUACUUACGUUCUUCAUAGUAUCAAAGAGAUCAAAGAAUUUUGGGUCUCCUUUUUGGUGUUAUCUACAAUAACCAUGAAAUUUGGACUUCCGUUUUAAAAAUACAUAAUUUGGAGUGAACUAAAGUUUAGAAUAAUAUCACAUAUGCAUUUUCUCCCAGAUCUGUGUUUUUGAAAGUUUUUGUUUUAGUCUAUACAUUUUUUAAAUUAGGAGCUUAUUUACAAUUGUCUCGAAAUUAAUUUUGUCAAAUCCAAAAAAGUUAAUUAUGAUUGUAAUAAGUUGUAUUUAAUAAAACAUUACUGGUAGAAAUUUAUUUUUUACAAAUGUACCCUAAUUUUAUUAAAUUUUUAUUAUUUAUUGCUUUAUUUUUGUACUUGGAAUAAAUCCACUCUUAAAAAUAUUUGUUCAAUAAAAAUUAAAAAAAUGUUAAACAAGUGUUUUUAUUUCUACAUACGAAGUGACAGGAAUUGUGGUAUAUUAUUUAAACUUUUUGUUUUUAAUUAUUGUAAUAUUUUUAUGACAAAUAGUUGUAAGCGUUAGUUUUAGUGUAUUUACUAAUUAUCUUUUAUAAUGUUUGUUUAACAUCUUCAGUGCAUGUUUUAAUUAUUAUAAAUAAAGUUUUCUUUGAUUUUAUAUCUAGUUCUUAUUUAUUUUAAUCUAUUGGAAUACAUACCCAAAAAUAUCUAAGACCCAAUUUUGCAAAAAUAGUAUUUUUUUGUUUAUUUUUAUUUUUUUUGUAAUUUUAAUAAAUGUUUUUGUUAUUGUGCCAGUGCGUAUAAAUUUAAUGAUGACGCCGAUGUCACUGUCCUCUUUUUUAUCCACCGACCCAUAACAAUUUUGCAUAAGACAGAAUUUCAACAGUUUUAUCAAUAUUUCGCAAUUGGUCGCAGAUAAAUAACGUACAGACGUAUGUACUUGAUGCAGAUUCGAUUUACGAACAAUACGUGAACAAUACAGAUAGGAAGAAGUUUAAGCCAAAUUUGAGAAUUUUUUUUUGAACUUAGACUAGAUUUAUCGUAAAUACCAACCGGUGAAUUUACAGGAAUCAGCUUGGUGUUUGACGAGUGUAAAUUUUUGUGGAAGAGUUUGUUGAAAGAGAGGCGUAGAAAUUUGUGAUAAAUAACAACAAAUCGGCGAUAAGAAUGACGGCAUCGCCUCCAAUAAGUCUGCUUUUCUUAGUAAUAAUAAAAUUUAUCAAUGAAUCUGGCACGGAAUGACAAAUCAUUUUCGUCGUCUUAUAAGUUAUGCUGAACGGUUUUCAAAUAUCAGACGAAGUGACUUCGGAUAGAUUGAUGUAGCUUUGAACUUGUGACCUUAAGAUAAUUCACUAUCAAUUUAAUUGAGAAUGUACCACUACAACUUAUUCCUUUUGUUUGAACGCUAAAGUGAAGCUGUAAAUAUGGAUAGAUUUUUCAUCGUUUUAUCAAUAUUUAUUUUGUUCAAUAUUUGUUUGUUACUCGCUGUGCCAGUGGAACAACAAAGCAAUUCAACACAAAUCAAGACGAUUUCAGCUAUUAACCAAUCGUCAAAUGACACUGUGUGCUUGUACGGCUUCGAGUACGUCAACGGCACGUGCAGAGAGAUAUUUCGAAAAUGAUUGAUAUUUAGCAACGCUAGCGGAAUGCUCGGAGCACUUGUGUAUAUACCUAAAUGAACAUGUAUUCCGUCUUAUUUAUUAAUUUAUUUAUUCUAUUUUGUGUUAUGUAAGUUUAAUUACAUAAUGUGUGUGUUGUCAGCUUGUGUUAAAGUUGUAGGUACGAUAGUCUAAGCAGUGUAUUAUUUUUGUUAUAUCUUUUGGUAUGUCAAUGUAAAAGUAAAAUUUAUAUUAAAUAAAUUCUUAAAGUGAUGAAUCAGCCUAUUUAUGCCUUCCAGACGCUUAGAUUUUAGUCAGUGAUGGAAAAGUACAAGUCUUUUAUUAAACACUUGAUGUGUUAAUAUGCACCGGACAAGUCCUGUCAGACCCGCAACUGCAAAUUGCUUCCUCUUAACUUAAUCGUUUUUGAUUCACUGUGACAAUUUUUGAAUAAAAUAUCUAGAACUUUCCAGCUGCAAAAAUUAAAAAUUAACUGAUGUGGUUAUUUUUGUAUUAAAUUUUAAAGCGCACAUUUUAUAGUCUGUUGCUAAUUAAAAUCAAAACACUAUUACAGCUUAUAAUAGAGUUGGAGAUUAACUCACAAAAUAUUUAAUUGCAAUUAAAUUUUAAUUCUUAGUUGAUUAAAGAUUUGGAAACGAAUUUGUACAUAAAUUCUGAAGUUUAUUUUUUAUUUUUUUAGUGCAGUAUUUAUUAACUAAGUAGAAAUGCUAACGAAAGACUUAUUUGCUGUGUUUGUUAUCCAAAGAUAAUUUUUGAAAAAAUUGUAAGCUACUUUGAGGAAAUUUAGGAGAAUAGUAUCUGAAGAUGAUAAGUUACAAUGUAGCUCUUAUUGCUUUGAACUUUUGGAGUGAUUCACAGCACGUAAUACUUUAGAACAAAAUUGGAGAUGACGAAGUUAUCAUAGCUUUAUCAAGAAUUCAAGGUUCUCCAAAUGAGUUAACCUUUGCGGUUUAAUUUCCGUAAAAAUUCCAAACACUCGGUGCAUAUUUUUUCAAAUUACGCACUGCAGUUUGUUCUGAAGUGCGAUAAAGUCGUAAUUACAAAAUUUUCCAAUGAGAUGUUUACCGCCGUACCUUCUUAACGAUACAUUGACACAACAUCAUUAGCAUUGUUUACAAAUCGUUAGUCUUUAACAAUUUCGAAAAAUGAACUUCUUGCAAGUGAUAAUUAUUUCCGUGUAGGAAACAGCGGUUUUACGAGAUUAACGCUCUAUAAUUUGUACUUAAUUCAAUUAUUACAUUAAUUCAGGAACACGAACCGCAUUGAUUUUAUGUUCCUGUUUCAACCAGAUAAGAAGUUUUUAAAUAAUUAGUCCCUGAAAAGUCGUUAAUAUUAUUGAGUUCGCUAUGAUGAAACUCGUCCUUUUGCUGGUUUUUCUCACAGUGGUGAUGGCUUUGCCUGUGGCUUAUGUGCCUCGAUUUUCUGCUUGUCCUCCCGGACAAGUCCUGGUUUAUCCUGGAGUGUGCCGAGAGGUGGAUUAUUUUUACGAUGAUUACGAAGAUUAAGCUCUGGUUCUUUUCUCCACUUCUUUUGAAGCAAUUAGAUUAGCCCAGAGUUUUGUAAUUACUAUUCUGUACUUAAAUUGAAAUAAAAGUGUGUCUUUGCAAUGCC
RNA transcript from Tribolium castaneum (red flour beetle), 6182 nucleotides. RefSeq lists it as uncharacterized. Lineage: Eukaryota; Metazoa; Arthropoda; Insecta; Coleoptera; Tenebrionidae. The record is from RefSeq and is a predicted model, not a curated record. The transcript has 8 exons.